ACGCUCGACACCUACGGGAGCAGCAGUCGGGAAUAUUGCGCAAUGGAGGAAACUCUGACGCAGUGACGCCGCGUAUAGGAAGAAGGUUUUCGGAUUGUAAACUAUUGUCGUUAGGGAAGAUACAAGACAGUACCUAAGGAGGAAGCACCGGCUAACUAUGUGCCAGCAGCCGCGGUAAUCUGAGGCGGGCUGGCAAGGC
Molecule: ribosomal RNA, 199 nt
Filed under: uncultured bacterium
Lineage: Bacteria
Description: partial 16S ribosomal RNA
Rfam family: Bacterial small subunit ribosomal RNA
Source: RNAcentral